UUGAACGCUGGCGGCAUGCCUUACACAUGCAAGUCGCACGGUAACGGGCCUUCGGGUGCCGACGAGUGGCGAACGGGUGAGUAAUACAUCGGAACGUGCCCGAUCGUGGGGGAUAACGAGGCGAAAGCUUUGCUAAUGCCGCAUACGAUCUACGGAUGAAAGCAGGGGACCGCAAGGCCUUGCGCGGACGGAGCGGCCGAUGGCAGAUUAGGUAGUUGGUGGGAUAAAAGCUUACCAAGCCGACGAUCUGUAGCUGGUCUGAGAGGAUGAUCAGCCACACUGGGACUGAGACACGGCCCAGACUCCUACGGGAGGCAGCAGUGGGGAAUUUUGGACAAUGGGCGCAAGCCUGAUCCAGCCAUGCCGCGUGCAGGAUGAAGGCCUUCGGGUUGUAAACUGCUUUUGUACGGAACGAAAAGCCUUCUUUUAAUACAGGAGGGUCAUGACGGUACCGUAAGAAUAAGCACCGGCUAACUACGUG
RNAcentral lists this ribosomal RNA (481 nucleotides) under uncultured bacterium. RNAcentral's name for it is "partial 16S ribosomal RNA". It matches the Rfam family "Bacterial small subunit ribosomal RNA", at positions 30 to 507 of the family's 1533-position model. The record is from RNAcentral.